AACGAACGCUGGCGGCGUGCCUAACACAUGCAAGUCGAACGGAAUGAGGGGGCUUGCUCCUUCAUUUAGUGGCGCACGGGUGAGUAACGCGUAGAUAAUCUGCCUGAUGAUCUGGGAUAACAUCUCGAAAGGGGUGCUAAUACCGGAUAAGCCCACGGGGUCUUUGGAUUCUGCGGGAAAAGGGGGGGACCUUCGGGCCUUCUGUCAUCAGAUGAGUCUGCGUACCAUUAGCUAGUUGGUAGGGUAAUGGCCUACCAAGGCGACGAUGGUUAGCUGGUCUGAGAGGAUGAUCAGCCACACUGGAACUGAGACACGGUCCAGACUCCUACGGGAGGCAGCAGUGGGGAAUUUUGCGCAAUGGGCGAAAGCCUGACGCAGCAACGCCGCGUGAGUGAUGAAGGCUUUCGGGUCGUAAAGCUCUGUCAAGGGGAAAGAAGUGUAUUGUGGUUAAUACCCACGAUACUUGACGGUACCCCUAAAGGAAGCACCGGCUAACUCCGUGCCAGCAGCCGCGGUAAUACGGAGGGUGCAAGCGUUGUUCGGAUUUAUUGGGCGUAAAGCGCGUGUAGGCGGUUUAUUAAGUCUGAUGUGAAAGCCCUGGGCUCAACCCAGGAAGUGCAUUGGAUACUGGUAGACUUGAAUACGGGAGAGGGCAGUGGAAUUCCUGGUGUAGGAGUGAAAUCCGUAGAUAUCAGGAGGAACACCGGUGGCGAAGGCGGCUGCCUGGACCGAUAUUGACGCUGAGACGCGAAAGCGUGGGUAGCAAACAGGAUUAGAUACCCUGGUAGUCCACGCCGUAAACGAUGAGUACUAGGUGUUGCGGGUAUUGACCCCUGCAGUGCCGCAGCUAACGCAUUAAGUACUCCGCCUGGGAAGUACGGUCGCAAGACUAA
RNAcentral lists this ribosomal RNA (893 nucleotides) under uncultured Geobacter sp. RNAcentral's name for it is "bacterial SSU rRNA". It matches the Rfam family "Bacterial small subunit ribosomal RNA", at positions 28 to 897 of the family's 1533-position model. Lineage: Bacteria; Pseudomonadati; Thermodesulfobacteriota; Desulfuromonadia; Geobacterales; Geobacteraceae. The record is from RNAcentral.